ACGGGGAGCACCACAACAGGUGGAGCCUGCGGUUUAAUCGGACUCAACGCGGGAAACUCACCAGAUAAGACAGCUGAAUGAUAGUCGGGCUGAAGACUCUACUUGACUAGCUGAGAGGAGGUGCAUGGCCGUCGUCAGUUCGUACUGUGAAGCAUCCUGUUAAGUCAGGCAACGAGCGAGACCCACGCCAACAGUUGCCAGCUCGUCCUCCGGGAUGGUGGGGACACUGUUGGGACCGCCUCUGCUAAAGAGGAGGAAGGAAUGGGCAACGGUAGGUCAGCAUGCCCCGAAUUAUCUGGGCUACACGCGGGCUACAAUGGGUGGGACAAUGGGUAUCGACACCGAAAGGUGAAGGCAAUCUCCUAAACCCAUCCGUAGUUCGGAUUGUGGGCUGCAACUCGCCCACAUGAAGCUGGAAUCUGUAGUAAUCGUGUCUCAAAAUGGCACGGUGAAUAUGUCCCUGCUCCUU
Molecule: ribosomal RNA, 469 nt
Filed under: uncultured Methanomicrobiales archaeon
Lineage: Archaea; Methanobacteriati; Methanobacteriota; Methanomicrobia; Methanomicrobiales
Description: bacterial SSU rRNA
Rfam family: Archaeal small subunit ribosomal RNA
Source: RNAcentral